GCCAGGGAACUACGAGCGAAGCUUAAAACCCAAAGGACUUGACGGUGCCCAUAUCCCACUAGAGGAGCCUGUCCUUAAUCGAUGAUCCCCGUUUAACCUCACCACUUCUAGCCCAUCAGCCUGUAUAUUUCCGUCGUAAAUUAACCACAUGAGUGAAACUCAGUUAGUGCAAAGACUUACAAAAAGACCCCCGUCAACACGUCAGGUCAAAAUGCAGUUAAUGAAGUGGGAAAAGAUUGGCUACACUUUUUAUUAUAAAAGAAAACGAAAGACAAUAAUGAAACUUUGUCAGAAGGUGGAUUUAGCAGUAAAAAGAGUUCAUUACACUCAUUUGAAUCUGGCACUGGAGCGUGU
This 354-nucleotide ribosomal RNA is filed under the name Eleutherodactylus gryllus. Its description in RNAcentral is "partial 12S ribosomal RNA". It matches the Rfam family "Bacterial small subunit ribosomal RNA", at positions 871 to 1384 of the family's 1533-position model. The record is from RNAcentral. Lineage: Eukaryota; Metazoa; Chordata; Amphibia; Anura; Eleutherodactylidae.